Long non-coding RNA from Peromyscus californicus insignis, 310 nucleotides. RefSeq lists it as uncharacterized. Lineage: Eukaryota; Metazoa; Chordata; Mammalia; Rodentia; Cricetidae. The record is from RefSeq and is a predicted model, not a curated record. The transcript is spliced from 2 exons.
CAGAUACAAGAUUCCAGCUGUCUGAAGAGAGUCACAAAAAGAUUAAGCAAUGUAAUUUCAAGUUUUGGAAAAUAUUUUUUACAAAGACAUAUCGUUUAUGUGACUAUGUAAUGGGGCCCAAUUACAUGUACACGGUGACCAGCCUGCCCCUGAUGUCCAACUCUCCCUAUCUCCUUGUGGGUUUUUCUCCCAGAUGGGGUUCCCAGCAGAAGCUGCUCAUGAUUCUCUACCCCAGAGAAUACAAUCUAAGGCAGCAAAUGAAGUUCCUCUAUGGAAAAAGGUGUUAUGCUAUUAAAAGAGGGGUCCUGGA